GAAAGUUGGAUCAUAUAUAGGCUAUAAUGGGUGCUUUUUUUGCACUCAGGAAUCAGAAGACAAGAAGAGGGGUUAAAUUCCGUCUCCAAAUCCACCCCCCUCUCGUACCCACCCGACUCAACGUACAGAAACCCCUCCUCUUUUCCCUCCUCUAUCCCAUCCGAACCCUAGAUUCUAACAUUUUCCAUAUGCAGAUCUGAUAACGCACUUCUCCCCCAAUAAAAGACCCUAACUUUGGAACCUCUAACAACCGGACUAAUAUGGCCGAGUUAGGGCAGCAAACGGUCGACUUCUCUACUCUUGUGAGUCGUGCCGCCGAGGAAUCUUUCCUCUCCUUGAAAGAAUUGGUUGAAAAAUCCAAAUCCUCUGACCAGUCGGAUUCCGAUAAGAAGCUUAGCCUCUUGAAGUACUUGGUUAAAACCCAGCAACGUAUGCUCAGACUGAAUGUUCUCGCUAAGUGGUGCCAACAGGUUCCUUUGAUACAGUAUUGUCAGCAACUUCAAUCUACCCUAUCAAGUCAUGAGGCGUGUUUUACCCAAACUGCAGAUUCAUUGUUUUUCAUGCAUGAGGGGUUACAGCAAGCUCGAGCACCUAUCU
Molecule: unclassified non-coding RNA, 597 nt
Filed under: Hevea brasiliensis (rubber tree)
Lineage: Eukaryota; Viridiplantae; Streptophyta; Magnoliopsida; Malpighiales; Euphorbiaceae
Source: RNAcentral